RNAcentral lists this non-coding RNA (23 nucleotides) under Mus musculus (house mouse). Lineage: Eukaryota; Metazoa; Chordata; Mammalia; Rodentia; Muridae. The record is from RNAcentral.
AGAGAUGAUGGAUGCCCAGCUGA